UACGAAGGGGGCGAGCGUUGUUCGGAUUUACUGGGCGUAAAGGGCGCGCAGGCGGCGCAUUUUAUCAGGCGUGAAAGCCCCGGGCUUAACCUGGGAACUGCGUUUGAUACGGAUGGGCUAGAGUUCGGGAGAGGAGAGUGGAAUUCCCAGUGUAGAGGUGAAAUUCGUAGAUAUUGGGAAGAACACCGGUGGCGAAGGCGGCUCUCUGGACCGAGACUGACGCUGAGGCGCGAAAGCGUGGGGAGCAAACAGG
This 253-nucleotide ribosomal RNA is filed under the name uncultured bacterium. RNAcentral describes it as "partial 16S ribosomal RNA". It matches the Rfam family "Bacterial small subunit ribosomal RNA", at positions 524 to 776 of the family's 1533-position model. The record is from RNAcentral.